ACCGGGUGCUAACGUCCGGACUCAAGAGGGAAACAACCCAGACCGCCAGCUAAGGUCCCUAAAAUUGGCUAAGUGGGAAACGAAGUGGGAAGGCUAAAACAGUCAGGAUGUUGGCUUAGAAGCAGCCAUCAUUUAAAGAAAGCGUAAUAGCUCACUGAUCGAGUCGUCCUGCGCGGAAGAUGUAACGGGGCUAAGCCAGUUACCGAAGCUGCGGAUGUGCAAUUUAUUGCACGUGGUAGGAGAGCGUUCUGUAAGCCUGUGAAGGUGUCUGGUAACGGAUGCUGGAGGUAUCAGAAGUGCGAAUGCUGACAUGAGUAGCGUUAAAAGGGGUGAAAAGCCCCUUCGCCGUAAGCGCAAGGUUUCCUACGCAACGUUCAUCGGCGUAGGGUGAGUCGGCCCCUAAGGCGAGGCAGAGAUGCGUAGCUGAUGGGAAACAGGUCAAUAUUCCUGUACCGAUCAAUAGUGCGAUGUGGGGACGGAGAAGGUUAGCUCAGCCACCUGUUGGAAUAGGUGGUUCAAGCGUGUAGUCGUGCCUGGUAGGCAAAUCCGCCGGGCUUAGAUGAGGCGUGAUAACGAGUGUGCUUGCACACGAAGUGAGUGAUACCCUGCUUCCAGGAAAAGCCACUAAGCUUCAGCUAUUGAUUGACCGUACCGCAAACCGACACUGGUGCGCGAGAUGAGUAUUCUAAGGCGCUUGAGAGAACUCUGGAGAAGGAACUCGGCAAAUUGAUACCGUAACUUCGGGAGAAGGUAUGCCCUCGGUAUGUGAAGUUGAACAAACGGAGCAGAAAAGGGUUGCAAAAAAUCGGUGGCUGCAACUGUUUAAUAAAAACACAGCACUCUGCAAACACGAAAGUGGACGUAUAGGGUGUGACGCCUGCCCGGUGCUGGAAGAUUAAAUGAUGGGGUGCAAGCUCUUGAUUGAAGUCCCAGUAAACGGCGGCCGUAACUAUAACGGUCCUAAGGUAGCGAAAUUCCUUGUCGGGUAAGUUCCGACCUGCACGAAUGGCAUAACGAUGGCCACACUGUCUCCUCCCGAGACUCAGUGAAGUUGAAAUGUUUGUGAUGAUGCAAUCUACCCGCGGCUAGACGGAAAGACCCCAUGAACCUUUACUGCAGCUUUGCAUUGAACUGUGAACCGAUUUGUGUAGGAUAGGUGGGAGGCAGAGAAGAGGCCACGCCAGUGGUCUUGGAGCCGACCUUGAAAUACCACCCUGAUUUGUUUGCGGUUCUAACCACGGACAGUGAUCCUGUCUUGGGACCGUGCAUGGUAGGCAGUUUGACUGGGGCGGUCUCCUCCUAAAGGGUAACGGAGGAGUACGAAGGUACGCUAGGUACGGUCGGAAAUCGUGCUGAUAGUGCAAUGGCAAAAGCGUGCUUGACUGCGAGAGCAACAACUCGAGCAGAUGCGAAAGCAGGUCAUAGUGAUCCGGUGGCUCUGAAUGGAAGGGCCAUCGCUCAACGGAUAAAAGGUACUCUGGGGAUAACAGGCUGAUACCGCCCAAGAGUUCAUAUCGACGGCGGUGUUUGGCAC
RNAcentral lists this ribosomal RNA (1534 nucleotides) under human gut metagenome. Its description in RNAcentral is "bacterial LSU rRNA". It matches the Rfam family "Bacterial large subunit ribosomal RNA", at positions 990 to 2524 of the family's 2925-position model. The record is from RNAcentral.